AGUUUUCCCAAGUGCUUAUUCAAAUAAUGUAUUUUGAGUCAAAUAAAGAAAAACGAUUAACAUAAUGUUAAUCUUUAUUAUUUAUACAAUAAAAGAUCUAUUCUGCAAAUGAUUCAACCAGAAGCUCCUGCUUGUUGAGCAGAUGACAGCUAUAGUCAGGAAGCCCUUUGCACAAAUCCAUAUUGUGCCCCAAUUAUGACCCUUUGUGGAUUGGACCACCAUUCUCACUCAUGCCUUAAUCACCUUCUGUCGGGACUACAGUAACAUGCUCUACCUUGAAGAUAAAUCAGGAAUUACAACAGCAGGGGGAAGAAAAAGCCUGUCACUAUGAGAAGCUACUAAGCCACCCUUCAGUUCAAUUUUAACAGCACGCUGAAAUGAAGGCAAUGCACCAUGGUCCCUUGACUUUAGCAGGGAUGGACGACAGCUAGAGUUGGGAGGCUAGAUAUGGCAAGAGUUCUCCCCAGUGGGAAACCAUCCAUUUCACCAUGAGAACCCAGUGGUGAAAUGCCGGCAAUGGAUUGGCACAAACCAAGUGCAUUGAAGAUCUGAAUCAUUUUGGAAAAUAUCUGUGGACUUCAGAUAUACAUACUGCGAGCUGGAAAAUAUUUUGUUCUUGUGCUUCACCUUUCUUGACCAGGUUCCUCUCCAUGCAAUUUAAUGUUUUUCUUCAAAUUUCAGCCUUCAGCCAAAUUUGUAAAACAAAGACAUGGCACGCUAUAACAGCUGGCAAAUAUGUUCCUGCUGUAUCCCAUCUGUUUUAAAAGGUGCUGUAUGUUUAUUAGGGAGAAUUAUGCUUAUGAUCAAUUUAGGGUACUUGCUUCCUGAUUCAUCUGCUAAUAUGUUCUGGUUUGAAUAUAUUAUUUUGUCACUUCCCUUGGAAUCUUCAGUCACAAAAUAGCCUUCCUUUGCCAAAUAAAGA
This is a long non-coding RNA of Python bivittatus (Burmese python), 922 nucleotides long. RefSeq lists it as uncharacterized. The record is from RefSeq and is a predicted model, not a curated record. Lineage: Eukaryota; Metazoa; Chordata; Lepidosauria; Squamata; Pythonidae.